RNAcentral lists this small nuclear RNA (107 nucleotides) under Meriones unguiculatus (Mongolian gerbil). Lineage: Eukaryota; Metazoa; Chordata; Mammalia; Rodentia; Muridae. The record is from RNAcentral.
GUGCUCACUUCGGCAGCACAUAUACUAAAAUUGGAAUGAUACAGAGAAGAUUAACAUGGCCCCUGCACAAGGAUGACACGCAAACUUGUGAAGCGUUCCAUUUUUAA